RNAcentral lists this ribosomal RNA (766 nucleotides) under uncultured bacterium. RNAcentral describes it as "bacterial SSU rRNA". It matches the Rfam family "Bacterial small subunit ribosomal RNA", at positions 66 to 826 of the family's 1533-position model. The record is from RNAcentral.
GGCAGCACGAUGUAGCAAUACAUUGGUGGCGACCGGCGCACGGGUGAGUAACGCGUAUGCAACCUACCUAUCAGAGGGGAAUAACCCGGCGAAAGUCGGACUAAUACCGCAUAAAACAGGGGUUCCACAUGGAAAUAUUUGUUAAAGAAUUAUCGCUGAUAGAUGGGCAUGCGUUCCAUUAGAUAGUUGGUGAGGUAACGGCUCACCAAGUCCACGAUGGAUAGGGGUUCUGAGAGGAAGGUCCCCCACACUGGUACUGAGACACGGACCAGACUCCUACGGGAGGCAGCAGUGAGGAAUAUUGGUCAAUGGGCGAGAGCCUGAACCAGCCAAGUCGCGUGAAGGAUGAAGGAUCUAUGGUUUGUAAACUUCUUUUAUAUGGGAAUAAAGUGAGGAACGUGUUCCUUUUUGUAUGUACCAUAUGAAUAAGCAUCGGCUAACUCCGUGCCAGCAGCCGCGGUAAUACGGAGGAUGCGAGCGUUAUCCGGAUUUAUUGGGUUUAAAGGGUGCGUAGGUGGUUAAUUAAGUCAGCGGUGAAAGUUUGUGGCUCAACCAUAAAAUUGCCGUUGAAACUGGUUGACUUGAGUAUAUUUGAGGUAGGCGGAAUGCGUGGUGUAGCGGUGAAAUGCAUAGAUAUCACGCAGAACUCCGAUUGCGAAGGCAGCUUACUAAACUAUAACUGACACUGAAGCACGAAAGCGUGGGGAUCAAACAGGAUUAGAUACCCUGGUAGUCCACGCAGUAAACGAUGAUUACUAGCUGUUUG